RNAcentral lists this long non-coding RNA (106 nucleotides) under Homarus americanus (American lobster). Its description in RNAcentral is "uncharacterized LOC121854870, transcript variant X1". The record is from RNAcentral. Lineage: Eukaryota; Metazoa; Arthropoda; Malacostraca; Decapoda; Nephropidae.
GUCAACAGUGAUGGUAGGUCAACAGUGAUGGUAGGUCAACAGUGAUGGUAGGUCAACAGUGAUGGUAGGUCAGCAGUGAUGGUAGGUCAACAGUGAUGGUAGGUCA